GUAACAGGUCUUCGGACGCUGACGAGUGGCGAACGGGUGAGUAAUACAUCGGAACGUGCCCAGUCGUGGGGGAUAACUACUCGAAAGAGUAGCUAAUACCGCAUACGAUCUGAGGAUGAAAGCGGGGGACCUUCGGGCCUCGCGCGAUUGGAGCGGCCGAUGGCAGAUUAGGUAGUUGGUGGGAUAAAAGCUUACCAAGCCGACGAUCUGUAGCUGGUCUGAGAGGACGACCAGCCACACUGGGACUGAGACACGGCCCAGACUCCUACGGGAGGCAGCAGUGGGGAAUUUUGGACAAUGGGCGAAAGCCUGAUCCAGCAAUGCCGCGUGCAGGAUGAAGGCCUUCGGGUUGUAAACUGCUUUUGUACGGAACGAAAAAGCUUCUCCUAAUACGAGAGGCCCAUGACGGUACCGUAAGAAUAAGCACCGGCUAACUACGUGCCAGCAGCCGCGGUAAUACGUAGGGUGCGAGCGUUAAUCGGAAUUACUGGGCGUAAAGCGUGCGCAGGCGGUUAUGUAAGACAGAUGUGAAAUCCCCGGGCUCAACCUGGGAACUGCAUUUGUGACUGCAUGGCUAGAGUACGGUAGAGGGGGAUGGAAUUCCGCGUGUAGCAGUGAAAUGCGUAGAUAUGCGGAGGAACACCGAUGGCGAAGGCAAUCCCCUGGACCUGUACUGACGCUCAUGCACGAAAGCGUGGGGAGCA
RNAcentral lists this ribosomal RNA (704 nucleotides) under uncultured Delftia sp. RNAcentral's name for it is "bacterial SSU rRNA". It matches the Rfam family "Bacterial small subunit ribosomal RNA", at positions 69 to 770 of the family's 1533-position model. Lineage: Bacteria; Pseudomonadati; Pseudomonadota; Betaproteobacteria; Burkholderiales; Comamonadaceae. The record is from RNAcentral.